RNAcentral lists this ribosomal RNA (333 nucleotides) under uncultured bacterium. RNAcentral describes it as "bacterial SSU rRNA". It matches the Rfam family "Bacterial small subunit ribosomal RNA", at positions 357 to 707 of the family's 1533-position model. The record is from RNAcentral.
GGGAAUUUUGCGCAAUGGGGGAAACCCUGACGCAGCAACGCCGCGUGGAGGAUGAAGUAUCUUGGUACGUAAACUCCUUUCGAUGGGGAAGAUAAUGACGGUACCCAUAGAAGAAGCCCCGGCUAACUUCGUGCCAGCAGCCGCGGUAAUACGAGGGGGGCAAGCGUUGUUCGGAUUUAUUGGGCGUAAAGGGUGCGUAGGCGGUUUGGCAAGUCUUAUGUGAAAUCUAUGGGCUCAACCCAUAGGCUGCAUGAGAAACUACCGGGCUUGAGUAUGGGAGAGGUGAGUGGAAUUUCCGGUGUAGCGGUGAAAUGCGUAGAUAUCGGAAGGAAC